GACGAACGCUGGCGGCGUGCUUAACACAUGCAAGUCGAACGGAAAGGCCCUGCUUUUGUGGGGUGCUCGAGUGGCGAACGGGUGAGUAACACGUGAGUAACCUGCCCUUGACUUUGGGAUAACUUCAGGAAACUGGGGCUAAUACCGGAUAGGAGCUCCUGCUGCAUGGUGGGGGUUGGAAAGUUUCGGCGGUUGGGGAUGGACUCGCGGCUUAUCAGCUUGUUGGUGGGGUAGUGGCUUACAAAGGCUUUGACGGGUAGCCGGCCUGAGAGGGUGACCGGCCACAUUGGGCUUGGGGAAGGGCCCGGACUCAUACGGGAGGCAGCGGUGGGAAUUAUUGCACAAUGGGCGGAGGCCGGAUGGAGGAUCGCCGGGUGGGGAAUGACGGCCUUCGGGGUGUAACCCGUUUUCGCGUGUGACGAAGCGUGAGUGACGGUAAUGGGUAAAGAAGCACCGGCUAAUUACUG
This 467-nucleotide ribosomal RNA is filed under the name uncultured bacterium. RNAcentral's name for it is "partial 16S ribosomal RNA". It matches the Rfam family "Bacterial small subunit ribosomal RNA", at positions 28 to 506 of the family's 1533-position model. The record is from RNAcentral.